UCUUGCGCAAUGGGCGAAAGCCUGACGCAGCCAUGCCGCGUGUAUGAUGAAGGUCUUAGGAUUGUAAAAUACUUUCACCGGUGAAGAUAAUGACUGUAGCCGGAGAAGAAGCCCCGGCUAACUUCGUGCCAGCAGCCGCGGUAAUACGAAGGGGGCUAGCGUUGCUCGGAAUUACUGGGCGUAAAGGGAGCGUAGGCGGACAUUUAAGUCAGAGGUGAAAUCCCGGAGCUUAACUUCGGAACUGCCUUUGAUACUGGGUGUCUUGAGUGUGAGAGAGGUAUGUGGAACUCCGAGUGUAGAGGCGAAAUUCGUAGAUAUUCGGAAGAACACCAGUGGCGAAGGCGACAUACUGGCUCAUUACUGACGCUGAGCUCGAA
This 377-nucleotide ribosomal RNA is filed under the name uncultured bacterium. RNAcentral describes it as "bacterial SSU rRNA". It matches the Rfam family "Bacterial small subunit ribosomal RNA", at positions 362 to 757 of the family's 1533-position model. The record is from RNAcentral.